Molecule: ribosomal RNA, 229 nt
Filed under: uncultured bacterium
Lineage: Bacteria
Description: partial 16S ribosomal RNA
Rfam family: Bacterial small subunit ribosomal RNA
Source: RNAcentral
UGCGCAGGCGGGCCUGCAAGUCAGUGGUGAAAUCCCGGGGCUCAACUCCGGAACUGCCAUUGAUACUACAGGUCUUGAGUUUGGUUGAAGUGGGCGGAAUGUAGCAUGUAGCGGUGAAAUGCAUAGAUAUGCUACAGAACACCGAUCGCGAAGGCAGCUCACUAAACCAAAACUGACGCUCAGGCACGAAAGCGUGGGUAGCGAACAGGAUUAGAUACCCUGGUAGUCC